GAUGAACGCUAGCUACAGGCUUAACACAUGCAAGUCGAGGGGUAGCACGGAAGAAGCAAUACGGAAUUGAUGGCGACCGGCGCACGGGUGCGUAACGCGUAUGUAACCUACCUUUAACAGGGGGAUAACACUGAGAAAUUGGUACUAAUACCCCAUAACACCUUAAGAGGCAUCUUUUUGGGUUGAAAGUUCCGGCGGUUAAAGAUGGACAUGCGUUGUAUUAGCUAGAUGGUGAGGUAACGGCUCACCAUGGCGACGAUACAUAGGGGGACUGAGAGGUUAACCCCCCACACUGGUACUGAGACACGGACCAGACUCCUACGGGAGGCAGCAGUGAGGAAUAUUGGUCAAUGGACGCAAGUCUGAACCAGCCAUGCCGCGUGCAGGAUGACGGCUCUAUGAGUUGUAAACUGCUUUUGUACAAGGGUAAACCCUGGGACGUGUCCCAGGCUGAAAGUACUGUACGAAUAAGGAUCGGCUAACUCCGUG
RNAcentral lists this ribosomal RNA (489 nucleotides) under uncultured bacterium. Its description in RNAcentral is "bacterial SSU rRNA". It matches the Rfam family "Bacterial small subunit ribosomal RNA", at positions 28 to 507 of the family's 1533-position model. The record is from RNAcentral.